UCUCCAGACUCAUCAAGUUGUACACAUCAAAUACAUACAGCUUUUUGUAUGUCAAUUAUACCUCAGUGAAAUGGUUAAAAAUAGACAAAUCCUUGAGGA
This is a long non-coding RNA of Sapajus apella (tufted capuchin), 99 nucleotides long. RefSeq lists it as uncharacterized. The record is from RefSeq and is a predicted model, not a curated record. NCBI's taxonomy places the organism in Eukaryota, Metazoa, Chordata, Mammalia, Primates, Cebidae. The transcript is spliced from 3 exons.